This is a small nucleolar RNA of Melanotaenia boesemani (Boeseman's rainbowfish), 97 nucleotides long. RefSeq annotates it as Z30 small nucleolar RNA. The record is from RefSeq and is a predicted model, not a curated record. The transcript has a single exon. NCBI's taxonomy places the organism in Eukaryota, Metazoa, Chordata, Actinopteri, Atheriniformes, Melanotaeniidae.
CUGCUGUGAUGAUUUUACUUGUGACUGACCUGGAAUUGCCGGCCUCUGGGUUGGCUCUGGCCAGGGAAUGACGUCAGUCAAUCUUCUCUCUGAGCAG